This is a long non-coding RNA of Ictalurus punctatus (channel catfish), 1648 nucleotides long. RefSeq lists it as uncharacterized. The record is from RefSeq and is a predicted model, not a curated record. The transcript has 3 exons. NCBI's taxonomy places the organism in Eukaryota, Metazoa, Chordata, Actinopteri, Siluriformes, Ictaluridae.
CACCGGCAUCAGGCGACCCCGAGGACUGGAGGCCUGGUCUCCGGAGCACGCCGAGAUCGCGUAGCUUCUCCAGCAGAUCACCAUGAAGAUAACAGCUGAAUUGUGGUGUAAAGACGAUUUACUUUGGGGUGAUUUAUACUUCUGCCAGCGUGUAUCUGCUAACAUGUCAGGAUGUCAUGCAUGGACACUCCUCUCAUACAGGAUGAAGACUUCAUACAUUGGGUAAAAUGUUAGCGUCCUCUAGGGGGCAGUGAUGCAUGAACCACAUCGGAAUUGACUGAAUUACUCAGCAAAGACGAGCCAAAACCAAUGCGGACAUAAACCUAAUAAAUUCAGUUUGUAAUCAGAUAUCAGCUCUCAAAUGUCCACGAUGCUCCCACAUCAUCAAAACAGAGAAGAGCACGUACAGUGAUCACAGCACACAAAGUUUUAAAACGUUUAAAUGACCUAAUAAGUAGACAAUAACAAGAAGUCAACAGAACUGACUGAAUUGAUCUCAAUCCUUUCCUCAGUGAUGUUAGAAUGAUCAGAGAUCAGUCGAGGGAUCGAGAGACUGAUGUGCAUCAUUUCCCACUGUAAACUUGGAAUUCUUUCAAAUCUGGGAGUAAUACUGUAGAAUUGGUUAUAAAUGUAGAGAUUUUUGGAGGAUUUGCUUACCUGUCCACUCAGGAUAAUAUUAAAUCAGGUUAAUAUAAUAACUUGGGUAAUAUCUCAAUGACAAUAGCGUUAUUAAGGAUUCUUAAAAUAGUUUGUACUCAAUGCUUUUAGCGUUACAGAUUGAAUGCUAAUGAACACGGUGGUUUAAUGGUUAGUAUGUUUGCCUUGCACUUCCGGGUUUGGGGGUUCAAUUCCCUCCUCUGCCCUGUGUGCAUGGAGCUUGCAUGUUCUCCCCGCGCUUCAGGGGUUUCCUCCAGGUACUCUGGUUUCCUCCCCCUGACCAAAGACGUGUUGUAGGCUGAUGGGCAUUUCCAAAUUGUCCAUAGUGUGUGAAUGGUUGUGUAGGAUAACUAUCUGGUUCUACUCAAUAUUCUCAAGUCUUUAUUGUUAUUUUGUUGUUUUAUAUUCUCAAGUUUCCUUCUACAUUCAGAUUUUUCACAUUUCCUAAAUGGCUCCGGCUAAAUAAAUAAGAAAAAUCAAAGCUUGAGUGUGAGGGUAUGUGUGUGUAUCUAAAACAUUAUGUACAGUAUUUGCUCAUGCUAGACACUGCGCUAUAAAAUAUAGCAUUUUAAAAACACCUUUAUCUCUAAACCUAAAUUUAGCAUGUCUGCUGUAAUCCACGGGAGGCUAUGGGAUGUUUUGCCUCAGUCCUUCUCUUGCGCUGUGAUAAGGUAAUGGAUGCAGUAGGUCUUUCCUCCAGGCUGCUGCCUCAAUCUCAUUUUCUGAUUAGAAGCUCCUUCCUUCUAUCUGUCUGCUCUAUGGCUUGGAGCCUAAUUUAUGAGUGUGUAGUGCCAGCCAGAAUGGGACAGACCAGACUUUGGGGAGAACUGCAAUUUGUAUUGAUUUGGCUUUUGGAUGGAGAGAUGGAGGACGAAAGCAGGAGAGAAAAGGGAGGAAAAGAGGAAUGAAAGAUGGCUCGGCUCAACGAUGAAAAACCCAUCAGUCUUUGUUGGAGAAGGAAGCACCAAAGAUCAGACGAUGUAGAGAUGGU